GCUGAAUACAACAGGUGUAGUAGACCUACAGUGAAAUGCUGAAUACAACAGGUGUAGUAGACCACAGUGAAAUGCUGAAUACAACAGGUGUAGUAGACCUCACAGUGAAAUGCUGAAUACAACAGGUGUAGUAGACCUCACAGUGAAAUGCUGAAUACAACAGGUGUAGUAGACCUUACAGUGAAAUGCUGAAUUACAACAGGUGUAGUAGACCUUACAGUGAAAUGCUGAAUACAACAGGUGUAGUAGACCUCACAGUGAAAUGCUGAAUACAACAGGUGUAGUAGACCUUACAGUGAAAUGCUGAAUACAACAGGUGUAGUAGACCUUACAGUGAAAUGCUGAAUACAACAGGUGUAGUAGACCUUACAGUGAAAUGCUGAAUACAACAGGUGUAGUAGACCUUACAGUGAAAUGCUGAAUACAACAGGUGUAGCAGACCUCACAGUGAAAUGCUGAAUACAACAGG
Long non-coding RNA from Oncorhynchus keta (chum salmon), 469 nucleotides. RefSeq lists it as uncharacterized. Lineage: Eukaryota; Metazoa; Chordata; Actinopteri; Salmoniformes; Salmonidae. The record is from RefSeq and is a predicted model, not a curated record. The transcript has 3 exons.